UAGGGAAUUUUCGUCAAUGGGGGAAGCCCUGAACGAGCAAUGCCGCGUGUGUGAAGAAGGUCUUCGGAUCGUAAAGCACUGUUGUAAGUGAAGAAUGCCAUAUAGAGGAAAUGCUAUGUGGGUGACGGUAGCUUACCAGAAAGCCACGGCUAACUACGUGCCAGCAGCCGCGGUAAUACGUAGGUGGCAAGCGUUAUCCGGAAUCAUUGGGCGUAAAGGGUGCGUAGGUGGCACGAUAAGUCUGAAGUAAAAGGCAACAGCUCAACUGUUGUAUGCUUUGGAAACUGUCGAGCUAGAGUGCAGAAGAGGGCGAUGGAAUUCCAUGUGUAGCGGUAAAAUGCGUAGAUAUAUGGAGGAACACCAGUGGCGAAGGCGGUCGCCUGGUCUGUAACUGACACUGAUGCACGAAAGCGUGGGGAGCAAUAGGAUUAGAUACC
This 437-nucleotide ribosomal RNA is filed under the name uncultured bacterium. RNAcentral describes it as "bacterial SSU rRNA". It matches the Rfam family "Bacterial small subunit ribosomal RNA", at positions 355 to 786 of the family's 1533-position model. The record is from RNAcentral.